AUGGUCCCCACAGGGUUAUUUAGGAAGCAGGAGCUUCCUGACUCCAUGACUUCACAGAGGGCGGCCCCAGGGGUUCCUUUGCAUCCCCUCUGCUGCUGGGAACAAAAGGCUGCCUUGCUCCCGCCUUCCCUUCACGGUUCACUCUUUGGUUCACUUCCUCCAAAUGGAGUGGCAGCUUGCAAAGACAGAGAAGACAAAGUUAGGCUUCCUCUCCACUGUCCCGGGGUGAGAUGGGCACAGGUCAUUGUCACAUCGAGACAAGGGGAAGCCUUUGAACGCGGGGUGGUCCCGGCCCUCCCUUGGCACAGGCGGAACGAGCUAAGCUGACCUGCAUUUUCUCAGCCCUUCGGGUCCUUGGCUGAAGAUGCACUCUGCAGGCACUGACCAGGGCAUACGUGGGCGGAGGGCUCAUAUCCAUGACUUUAGCCCCCAACAGAACCCACCCACCAGGAGAUGGCUUCAGAGUAGUGCUGCUCUGGGCCUGCGUUUCCUUCCUGGAGGCAGCAAUCACAGGCAAGCAGUUUGUUUAGGAAAACCCUAAAUCCAGAAAGUCAAGAGGAAAGAUCCUUCAAGAGCCUCAGGACAAGUCCCUGCAUUGCAUAGCAGGAGAAGCAGUUGGAGGAGGCAGUGGGUCAGGUGACUGUUGGAUCCAUUGUGCUGACUCGUGGAUGCCAGAGGUUGCCACGGAGACCAGGAGAUGCUGAGCGCUGGGUGAACUCUCACCAGGAAGUGAGAUGUUCAGUAUCCUCAUCGUACAACAUCCUGCCUGAACUUUUGGCAUCAGUAAAAACUUUCUCCAGUGUUCUUGGGCUUUCAUCCCCUGCUAAGGAAUUUUGUUACAGUUAAUGUUCAGAAUUGUAAAGAGGGCCCUUGUGGGUCCUUGAGCCCAGGGCUUCUCAAAGUGUGGUGCUCAGUCUUCCUGUCUCAAAUUCACCUCUGGACACCGGUUAGAGGCAGAUUUCCUGAACUACUCUCCAGCCUGCUGGGGUGAGGCUCAUGGAGGGGAGUUUUACCGGGCUUCUUGGGGAAUCUUCACACACAUCAAAGUCAGAAAGCCCCCGAUCUAACCCAGUCUCAUCAGGUGCACAAGGCCAGGAGCUUGCUCACAGAGCUGACCCCGGACUUCUCAGAUCCACGUCUCCAGCCCUUAAUCCCUGACCCUGACCUUAGGUGCUGAAGGUAAACAGAAG
This 1190-nucleotide long non-coding RNA is filed under the name Fukomys damarensis (Damara mole-rat). RNAcentral describes it as "lncRNA (ENSFDAG00000023777.1)". The record is from RNAcentral. Lineage: Eukaryota; Metazoa; Chordata; Mammalia; Rodentia; Bathyergidae.